This 466-nucleotide ribosomal RNA is filed under the name uncultured bacterium. RNAcentral's name for it is "partial 16S ribosomal RNA". It matches the Rfam family "Bacterial small subunit ribosomal RNA", at positions 30 to 507 of the family's 1533-position model. The record is from RNAcentral.
CGAACGCUGGCGGCGUGCUUAACACAUGCAAGUCGAACGGAAAGGCCCUGCUUUUGUGGGGUGCUCGAGUGGCGAACGGGUGAGUAACACGUGAGUAACCUGCCCUUGACUUUGGGAUAACUUCAGGAAACUGGGGCUAAUACCGGAUAGGAGCUCCUGCUGCAUGGUGGGGGUUGGAAAGUUUCGGCGGUUGGGGAUGGACUCGCGGCUUAUCAGCUUGUUGGUGGGGUAGUGGCUUACCAAGGCUUUGACGGGUAGCCGGCCUGAGAGGGUGACCGGCCACAUUGGGACUGAGAUACGGCCCAGACUCCUACGGGAGGCAGCAGUGGGGAAUAUUGCACAAUGGGCGGAAGCCUGAUGCAGCAACGCCGCGUGCGGGAUGACGGCCUUCGGGUUGUAAACCGCUUUCGCCUGUGACGAAGCGUGAGUGACGGUAAUGGGUAAAGAGGCACCGGCUAACUACGUG